GGGGCUGUGCCUGAACUAAAGGGCCACUUUGAUAGAGUGAACCAUGAGGGUUAAAAUCCCCCCAGCUCCU
This 70-nucleotide transfer RNA is filed under the name Culaea inconstans (brook stickleback). RNAcentral's name for it is "tRNA-Ile". It matches the Rfam family "tRNA". Rfam says of the family: Transfer RNA (tRNA) molecules are approximately 80 nucleotides in length. The record is from RNAcentral. Lineage: Eukaryota; Metazoa; Chordata; Actinopteri; Perciformes; Gasterosteidae.